RNAcentral lists this long non-coding RNA (200 nucleotides) under Elaeis guineensis (African oil palm). RNAcentral describes it as "long non-coding RNA (EGUI_LNC013886)". Lineage: Eukaryota; Viridiplantae; Streptophyta; Magnoliopsida; Arecales; Arecaceae. The record is from RNAcentral.
GCCCCCUUCUACUGCCGUGAUGCCUACUCAGGAAGCAACUGCCUCCACCCCAAAAACUAGAAUUAAAGUAUUAGCUGUAAAAAGAGUUGGUGGAAGAAGACCACCAAUAUUUGGGAAGUCCAAAGUUGAUAAUAAACAAAAAGGGAUUGCAAAAUAUAGAAAAAAGCUGCCCUUUUGGGAGAGCCUUCACUUGGUAGUUC